UCCUGGUGGCUCAGAGGGCAAAGUGUCUGCCUGCAGUGCAGGAGACCUGGGUUUGAUCCCUGGAUCAGGAA
This is a transfer RNA of Ovis aries (sheep), 71 nucleotides long. It matches the Rfam family "tRNA". Rfam says of the family: Transfer RNA (tRNA) molecules are approximately 80 nucleotides in length. Their secondary structure includes four short double-helical elements and three loops (D, anti-codon, and T loops). The record is from Rfam. Lineage: Eukaryota; Metazoa; Chordata; Mammalia; Artiodactyla; Bovidae.